UAUGGUAUUUGGCCCAUGCUCCUCUUUUAGGUGCCCAGAGCACACCCGAGCUGGGGCUCUCCUCGAUCCGUCCGGGUACGGCACCGGUGGCGGCGGCCGGUCUUCUUCUCCGGCCAUCUGCCGCUCUCCUUCCCUUCCCCAUCCGCCCCUAAAAUUCUCCGGCAUCAACCCAGCCUCCUCAAUCUCUAGCCCAUAUCCAUGGAGUUCCAGACUUGGAUUUCAAAGGGAUUCGGUGCCUCAGGAGGAUGAACGCCAUGGCAGCUACACACACGCGGCGGCAGCGGAUUGAAGGAUGCGGCAGCAAAUCGGCGUGAGCAUCCAUCUUCUGCUCUCUAAAUCUCUCUCUCUCUCUCCAACCUCCUCUAUCCUCUUGCAUCACAAACAGGCGGCGACUCUAUCCGGCCGAGUGUGGCGUAUGUGGUGCCUGUGUUGUGCUCCCGGCGGCCUAGCGUGUGUGCGUGCGGCUGGAUAUGCGUCUGUGUUCAUGUGUGUGGCGCUCUACAGGCAGAGGAAGUGGGUGGUUGCAGGCAGAGGAGUAUUAAGAUUAGUAUGGCACGAUUAGGAUACUUCCCUUGAUUUCUAUAAGAAAAAUUGAUAGUUUCCUUGAUUUGUUUUGUGGUGCACUGAUAUUUGGUUUGUGGUGCAGGAGCUUGAAGAUAUCAGGGGCAGCAGGCUUUACUGCAAUAUAUUCGUCCAUGAUUUUCUCACCAAAUCUGAAAUUAUUGGCCACCUAAAGUUUAAUCCCCUUGAGAAAAUGAGAGUAUUUAUGUACUAUGCUCUAUGGAUGUUGACAAUUUUGAUUGCAGGGGCUGGCAAAGUAAGUGCAGUGCUUGCCGUUGCAUAUAGAUAUUUAGGGCUACAUCAAACUUCAGUCAGUAGAACAUGAUGACCAGGCAGGGAGGUUCAUGCAGCAUUGGAAGUGAGGAUGUUUGGUGUAGAAUCGGUGCCGCCUCCACUCUACCCCGCCCCUCUGCAUUGUCCUCGGCGGCAAUACGGGCGACCUCGCUGCUUGCCUCGCGUGCAACCACUUCAUCCCCAACCUGUCGGAAGAGAGCAUUGCAGACUGGGCGGACAAACAAUGAGGUGUAGCAGCACAACCUUGCCUCUUUCCCUUACUCUCAUUUACAAGCGAGCCAAAGACACCCCAAGUGAUGGCACGAUGGCCCAUCGUGUAUGAAUGUGCUUCCAAACAAGCUUGCGGCGGCUCAGACCAGACUUGCUUGGCAUACAUGGCUGCAAUGCAUACAUGUGGCGGGAAACAGGCAGGGAAGCUUGGGACUGGAUAUGCAAUUAUGCCUUUGAAAAAUGUGCAUCUCCGCAUCAGAAUUCUUUUGUGGUACGUUCUUCGUAAAGAUAUGCCUCAUGUGAAGUAUACCAUAUGCAGUUGAGGCUAUCAUGCUGAAGGGUAGGAAGAUGGAGGAGUGGAUUAUUUUAGCAAGCUGGUAACCUAUUGGUUUGUGAGUAAUCUUCUGUAUAUACUAUUUAUAGGACUGUUGUUGUGGUGUUGACGACGACAACGAAGUGUGCAGAUGUUUGGUAUGGAGAGAAAUUCAGAAGGACAGGGAGAACUCAUCUCUUCAGAACUAAAGUACACCUCUGAAUCUAUUUGUGAGCAAUUCUUAUGCACUCAAUUGGCCUAUAUACAUGUCUGAUUUAUGCCAAUGAAGUUGACCAAAUGAGAAACCUCAAUGAUAAGUAAUUCUUUAAUAAAACAUCUAACUAUAAUUAUGCUUAAGAUAUUCUAGCUCUCUACAUGGUUAAAUUAUUAUUCUAUUACAUCAUUAUACACUAUCCUAUAAUUUUAAAUGGCUAGAAAUUUCAGUCUUCUUCUGGCUAAUUGUUUUUUAAAGUCAAGUGUUAAAGUCACUCUGACGCGGAUACUGUAUAUCCAUUGAUAGUUUAUUAGGCGAGGCGUUGUAUUUUUCUUUUGUUUCUUCGGUCUAUUUUGUAAUGAAAGUUACUCUCAAACUGAUGAUUCCAUGUUUUGGAUGACAAUCAAUCAUAAGCAUAUAUAUGUUCCAAAUCUUCAGCCUUCCUUGGUUGACAAAUACAUUUAUUGCACAUGUAUGUUGUUUAAUAAAAGGAGGAUUAAGAUUGAUGAAGUUUUUGGU
Long non-coding RNA from Triticum aestivum (bread wheat), 2111 nucleotides. RefSeq lists it as uncharacterized. Lineage: Eukaryota; Viridiplantae; Streptophyta; Magnoliopsida; Poales; Poaceae. The record is from RefSeq and is a predicted model, not a curated record. The transcript has 3 exons.